UAAGAAUCUCACAAUGGUCCUACUGAAUUGU
RNAcentral lists this non-coding RNA (31 nucleotides) under Mus musculus (house mouse). The record is from RNAcentral. Lineage: Eukaryota; Metazoa; Chordata; Mammalia; Rodentia; Muridae.